AGGACUAUACUUUCAGGGAUCAUUUCUGUAGUUGGUAACUAGAGGAGUGUGAUCGAAAGUGUCCGGCGUCACAAUUUUA
Molecule: small nucleolar RNA, 79 nt
Organism: Callipepla squamata (scaled quail)
Lineage: Eukaryota; Metazoa; Chordata; Aves; Galliformes; Odontophoridae
Rfam family: Small nucleolar RNA U3
About the family: Small nucleolar RNAs (snoRNAs) are involved in the processing and modification of rRNA in the nucleolus. There are two main classes of snoRNAs: the box C/D class, and the box H/ACA class.
Source: Rfam